GAUGAACGCUGGCGGCGUGCCUAAUACAUGCAAGUAGAACGCUGAAGCUUGGUGCUUGCACCGAGCGGAUGAGUUGCGAACGGGUGAGUAACGCGUAGGUAACCUGCCUCUUAGCGGGGGAUAACUAUUGGAAACGAUAGCUAAUACCGCAUAAAAGUCGAUAUCGCAUGAUAUUGAUUUGAAAGGUGCAAAUGCAUCACUAAGAGAUGGACCUGCGUUGUAUUAGCUAGUUGGUGAGGUAACGGCUCACCAAGGCGACGAUACAUAGCCGACCUGAGAGGGUGACCGGCCACACUGGGAAUGAGACACGGCCCAGACUCCUACGGGAGGCAGCAGUAGGGAAUCUUCGGCAAUGGGGGCAACCCUGACCGAGCAACGCCGCGUGAGUGAAGAAGGUUGUCGGAUCGUAAAGCUCCGUUGUAAGAGAAGAACGAGUGUGAGAGUGGAAAGUUCACACUGUGACGGUAACUUACCAGAAAGGGACGGCUAACUACGUG
RNAcentral lists this ribosomal RNA (497 nucleotides) under uncultured bacterium. RNAcentral's name for it is "partial 16S ribosomal RNA". It matches the Rfam family "Bacterial small subunit ribosomal RNA", at positions 28 to 507 of the family's 1533-position model. The record is from RNAcentral.